UACGGAGGGGGCAAGCGUUGUUCGGAAUCACUGGGUGUAAAGGGUGCGUAGGCGGUCCGAUAAGUCUGAUGUGAAAACCCGAGGCUCAACCUCGGGCCUGCGGUGGGUACGGGCAGACUAGAGUGCGGUAGGGGAGAUUGGAAUUCCUGGUGUAGCGGUGGAAUGCGCAGAUAUCAGGAGGAACACCGAUGGCGAAGGCAGAUCUCUGGGCCGUAACUGACGCUGAGGAGCGAAAGCGUGGGGAGCGAACAGG
RNAcentral lists this ribosomal RNA (253 nucleotides) under uncultured bacterium. RNAcentral describes it as "partial 16S ribosomal RNA". It matches the Rfam family "Bacterial small subunit ribosomal RNA", at positions 524 to 776 of the family's 1533-position model. The record is from RNAcentral.